Long non-coding RNA from Populus trichocarpa (black cottonwood), 1193 nucleotides. RefSeq lists it as uncharacterized. Lineage: Eukaryota; Viridiplantae; Streptophyta; Magnoliopsida; Malpighiales; Salicaceae. The transcript has 3 exons. The record is from RefSeq and is a predicted model, not a curated record.
AUAGGUAGAGGAAAUAAGCAGAUGAUAUAGCCUUCUUCCAGUGGUUCUUCAAGCCUUGAUUGAGUAGAUUGUUUUGUUCCUAUUCUUGCUUUUUCAGCUCCUUCAAACCCCUCUUAAAGAGUGUGAAUUUUGCCUAAAGUUGUGUCAUUCAUCGACAUUAAUUCUAAAAAUGCGUGAAGCCCUUAAAACCAAGUAUAGCAAAGCAAGAAUAAUUCCCUUUUUGAAGACGUAAUUCCCCCGCGCUUUGCCUCUUCACUAGAGGCCUUCCCAUCUGCGCUCUCCUUUUUCUCUAUGCUUUACUAAAAAAAUUUGGGUUCUAUUUGGGUUUUAAAAAUACCUCUAAUGUAAAUGAUGUGACAAUACAAUACUCGUUUAUUUUCGUAUUUUAAAAAAGUUUUUUUAAAAAAUUAUUUAUUAUUUAUUUCAAAUUAAUUUUUUUAUUAUUUUCAGAUAUUUUACUGAUAUAAAAUAUAAAUUCAGAACAAAAAUAUUUUAAAAAAACAACUAAAUGCUCGUACGAUACCAAAAUAGCUAUGACUCGGGAUCUGUUAAGAAUUAUGUUGUUGUGUUUUGUGCAGGUGAAGGGAUGCACAAUCAAGAACAACAAUGCUGAGUAUUGAAGAACACGAACUACACACAAGGUGUUUGAUAAAAUGUCUCAAUUCAAUGCUGGAUGCUCUUGCAAGCAUACCAGAUUUGCAGCUACGGUGAUUCAGAGUUGCAACUUAUAGAAAGUGUGGCCGAAAACACGACUUGGUCGGGCACAGAAGCUGAUAUUGAUUAUCCAGAGUUGCAGCUAGGAAGUGGAAGGAAAAGGCUCAGGAGGAAGUAUCUGUGCUUUAUGCCAUUCUACUUCCUCCUCUAAUAUCAGUUGCACAUUGAUCAGUUUGUAUAUAAGCAAGUGGGUGUAGUGAUUCUUGUUUGAGUAGUGUAUCCUGAAAUAACUAGGUCGGGCACAGAAGCUGAUAUAGGGAGAUUUGCUAUUUUUCUGUUCAGAUGACCGGUGAGCCUUGGAUUUUAAAGACGAUAGGUACAAAUAGGUGGUAUUCGAGGGAGACAAUAGCAGCAAGCUGACAUUGAUUACUCUGUUACAUGCAAGGAUACAAGCAUGCUGCUCACUUUCCUCUUGCAAGCUUCUGUGACGUUCGUAAUGUAACAAAACCUGCUAUCAACUACGUGAUUUUCCGCUUUCC